RNAcentral lists this transfer RNA (75 nucleotides) under Plesiocystis pacifica. Its description in RNAcentral is "tRNA-Gln". It matches the Rfam family "tRNA". Rfam says of the family: Transfer RNA (tRNA) molecules are approximately 80 nucleotides in length. Their secondary structure includes four short double-helical elements and three loops (D, anti-codon, and T loops). Lineage: Bacteria; Pseudomonadati; Myxococcota; Nannocystales; Nannocystaceae. The record is from RNAcentral. RNAcentral also lists the same sequence under 1 other name.
UGGGGAGUAGCUCAGCUGGCUGGUAGCACCGGGCUUUGAACUCGGCGGUCGUGGGUUCGAGUCCCACCUCCCCAU